Long non-coding RNA from Brassica napus (rape), 1723 nucleotides. RefSeq lists it as uncharacterized. The transcript is spliced from 2 exons. Lineage: Eukaryota; Viridiplantae; Streptophyta; Magnoliopsida; Brassicales; Brassicaceae. The record is from RefSeq and is a predicted model, not a curated record.
UCUUAUCACAUAUAAUUUCUCUUCACCUAAAACUUUAUAACAGACAAAAGUCAUUAUCAUAUACAUUUCUUGCAAAUGCAAACCUGAAACACAAACAUAAGAUUGUAUAAAACUUAAUAACCAUAGAUCACAAUUAAAGUGUAUCCCGUCCGUAGGCGGGCCGACCCUAGUAUCUUUAUAUCUUUAUAUAUAAAGAAGAGUUUGAAUCUCUCACAUGAAGCCACAUGGGAUGACAGGUCAGAAAGUCAGGCUUCCAGGAAUCGACACGUGUCCCCUGUCCUUAAACUAUGCGUUUCAUUUAAUUGUUAACAACAUUGAUGGGCUUUUGUGUGUUUGGACUUCAGGCUUUGUUCCAAGAACCCAUCUCGAUAACGAGCAACCCUAAUCCUCUCUACCCACGCCUCAUCGAAAUUUAGGGUUCUACGCAAGAUUUCAUAUCCAAUGUUCGAGCGACUGUGUUGCCCAAGUCAACCUGAUGAAUCCUUUGUUAGGGUUUCGCUUGCGUCAUUUGAGAUUCUUCUUCUCCAAUCGAAACGCUUCCAUUUCAGAUUCAUCACAUUUAACCGCCACUUAACUCCAUCAACACGAUCUAGCCAUCGAUGUGAUCUUCUGUCUUGCGAGGCAGUUUAUCUUUGAGUAUAAAAAGGAGGCCAACACGUACUCUAUGGAAAGGGAAGAUGGUGAUCGGAAAAGAUGCCCUUUUCGUGAUCAUGGGUCUUAAGAGACUGAACAUAGGUGGCGAGAAAUUGAAAAGACGUAAGCAAACCACUGAUUAUUGCAUACAAAAGAGUUUGAGGCGGGAGAAGAAGACUUGGAAGAUAUGCAGCUCCUUCUAUGAGACGCCUUCCACAAUGUACUCUGAGCUCUCCUUCAUACUAGCUGUUUUUAUCAUCUCAUCAUAUCAUAUUUAGUGGCAUCCAAAACGAGCAAGGAGGUGUUUUGAGAAGCGGCGGGAAGUGGUGGAGGCAGAGGCCAAGGUGGUGGCUACAGAGGACAAAAAGGUGGCUGAGCUCUAGACUGUUGUGCGUAAAAGUGGGAUGGAAAACGGAAUAGCGAGCUCUAACAUGGUAUUAGGAAGAACGUGUAAGAUAACAAUAGCCAUUUCUACAGUUUCUGAUCAUCACAUAAACACGCUCCUGCCUGUCAAAGAGCAUUCGGAGAUGAAGCAGUAGUUGUUGCUUCGACUUACGCAAGGAUCUUUCUCUGUAACUCGGUGGCUACGGAAAUGUGUUUCCGCUUGAGUCAGAGGUUUAUGUAUGCGAUGAGUGUACGACGGGAGAAACGGUGACGAUCGAGCUAAGAGAGAGCGAUGGGUUAUUGACUAAUUACUCGACCGGGAAACAAUAUAAGCUAUAGGCGAUAGGUGAUGCUGGGCUGGUAAUGCUGGUGGUAUCUUUUCUUAUGCGAGGAAGAUGGUAAUGAUUCCAUCUCCAUUAACAGCUUAACUCCACAUUCAAUAUGAUGUGUUCACAGUUCUGUUCUCAUGACUUUGUUGUUGUUGAUUAUUUAUCUACUCAAAUCUAUCUCUCUUUUCAAGGACUGAGAAGAUGACUGCAUUUUCCAUGUAGCAGAGAUAUGAUUUUUAUGUACUCAUUAUCUUCUGUGUCUCAACUAGAUUUCUUAAGUAGUUGAUACCCGUUUGUGUCUUUGUAUUCAACUUAUUUUGUUGGUUGGCACACAUUCUGUACUAUAUUUCCAUAACGUCCACUUGGAUAAUUUGUUA